Molecule: ribosomal RNA, 1326 nt
Filed under: metagenome
Description: bacterial LSU rRNA
Rfam family: Bacterial large subunit ribosomal RNA
Source: RNAcentral
AGUGGAUGGGGAGCAACCUAGUUGUGCGUGUGUAAAGGUAGUGCCAAGAAAAGCGGUGAUCAUGAUGAAAAUCAAUUCCCGGUACCCGAAACCGACACAGGUGGGCAAGUAGAGAAUACUAAGGGGCGCGAGGUAACUCUCUCCAAGGAACUCGGCAAAAUGACCCCGUAACUUAGGGAGAAGGGGUGCCACCGAGAGGUGGUCGCAGUGAAGAGGCCCAGGCGACUGUUUAGCAAAAACAUAGGUCUCUGCAAACUCGAAAGAGGAGGUAUAGGGGCUGACGCCUGCCCAGUGCCGGAAGGUUAAAGAAGUUGGUCAGUCUUAGGAUAAAGCUAGCGACUGAAGCCCCGGUGAACGGCGGCCGUAACUAUAACGGUCCUAAGGUAGCGAAAUUCCUUGUCGGGUAAGUUCCGACCCGCACGAAAGGCGUAACGAUCUGGGCGCUGUCUCGGAGAGAGGCUCGGCGAAAUAGGAUUGUCUGUGAAGAUACGGACUACCUGCAUUUGGACAGAAAGACCCUAUGAAGCUUUACUAUAGCUUGGAAUUGUGUUCGGGCUUCCUGUGCGCAGGAUAGGUGGGAGGCGAAGAAGGUAUUCUUGUGGGGAUACUGGAGCCAACGGUGAGAUACCACUCUCAGGAGGCUAGAAUUCUAACUUAAUUAAGGACAGUUUCAGGUGGGUAGUUUGACUGGGGCGGUCGCCUCCAAAAAGGUAACGGAGGCGUACAGAGGUUCCCUCAGACUGGUUGGAAAUCAGUCGCAGAGUGCAAAGGCAGAAGGGAGCUUGACUGCGAGAAGUACAGUUCGAGCAGGGUGGAAACACGGUCUUAGUGAUCCGACGGUGCUGUGUGGAAGGGCCGUCGCUCAACGGAUAAAAGUUACUCUAGGAUAACAGGCUGAUCUCCCCCAAGAGUUCACAUCGACGGGGAGGUUUGGCACCUCGAUGUCGGCUCAUCGCAACCUGGGGCGGAAGUACGUCCCAAGGGUUGGGCUGUUCGCCCAUUAAAGCGGUACGUGAGCUGGGUUCAGAACGUCGUGAGACAGUUCGGUCCAUAUCCGAUGUAGGCGUGAGAAUAUUGAGAGGAGCCUUCCUUAGUACGAGAGGACCGGGAAGGACGCACCGCUGGUGUACCUGUUAUGAUGCCAAUUGUAAACGCAGGGUAGCCAAGUGCGGAGAGGAUAACCGCUGAAAGCAUCUAAGUGGGAAGCCCACCUCAAGAUGAGUAUUCUGGUGUAAGGUCACGGGAAGACGACCCGUAAAUAGGCACGAGGUGGAAGUGCAGAGAUGUAUGAAGCCGAAGUGUACCAAUAGACCGUCGGCUUGACCU